UGAUGAGUCAGGCUACUGGUUAUAUUCCAGGGCUUAUCCAGUUCUGAGUAUAACCAAAGCCUGGCUGAAUG
Non-coding RNA from Rattus norvegicus (Norway rat), 71 nucleotides. NCBI's taxonomy places the organism in Eukaryota, Metazoa, Chordata, Mammalia, Rodentia, Muridae. The record is from Rfam.